This is a non-coding RNA of Schizosaccharomyces pombe (fission yeast), 253 nucleotides long. NCBI's taxonomy places the organism in Eukaryota, Fungi, Ascomycota, Schizosaccharomycetes, Schizosaccharomycetales, Schizosaccharomycetaceae. The record is from the annotation of a GenBank genome assembly.
AAAUCCCCUAUUCAUGGGAUGAACGCGUCGACUAGUCCAGUCAAUAAGUCAAACGACACACACUUGCAAUAUCUUUUAGCAAACAUGAUCUGUUGCACAUUCCUAGCAUUUGUCUUGAAUUUCCCAUCUGGGUAGGAAGACUUGGCUUCAAGAUUUUUUUCCAUUUCACAAGGCGUAACUAAUGAAGUAGAAAAAAGGCAUUUUCAAACGCGUAUCCAUCCCAUCCAUCCUCUCUAAAACUUGCAUUUUUAAA